CCAGACUCCUACGGGAGGCUGCAGUCGAGGAUCAUUCGCAAUGCGCGAAAGCGUGACGAUGCGACGCUGCGUGGAGGAUGACGGCCCUAGGGUUGUAAACUCCUGUCAUGAGGGAGAAGCCGGCGACGGGUUAAUAACCCGCCGCCCCGAUAGUACCUCAAGAGGAAGCCACGGCUAACUCUGUGCCAGCAGCCGCGGUAAUACCGAGGUGGCUAGCGUUGUUCGGAUUUACUGGGCGUAAAGCGUGCGUAGGCGGUCGAGUAAGUCGGAUGUGAAAGCCCGGGGCCCAACCCCGGAAUUGCGUCCGAAACUGCCCGACUUGAGUGCAGGAUGGGAGAGGGGAAUUCAUGGAGUAGCGGUGAAAUGCGUUGAUAUCAUGAAGAACACCGGUGGCGAAGGCGCCUCUCUGGAAUGCAACUGACGCUGGAGCACGAAAGCAUGGGGAGCGAACAGGAUUAGAUACCCUGGUAGUCCAUGCCGUAAACGGUGCGCACUUGGUGUUGGAAGGGUCAGCCCUUUCAGUGCCGGAGCUAACGCGUUAAGUGCGCCGCCUGGGGAGUACGGCCGCAAGGCUAAAACUCAAAGAAAUUGACGGGGGCCCGCACAAGCGGAGGAGCAUGUGGCUUAAUUCGAUGCAACGCGAAGGACCUUACCCAGGCUUGACAUAUAACUGCAAGUCCUGUGAAAGCAGGAUUCCUUCGAGGGUGUUAUACAGGUGCUGCAUGGCUGUCGUCAGUUCGUGCCGUGAGGUGUUUGGUUAAGUCCAGCAACGAACGCAACCCCUGUGUCCAGUUGCCAUCAGGUAAUGCUGGGAACUCUGGACAGACUGCCUGUGCAAUCAGGAGGAAGGUGGGGACGACGUCAAGUCAGUAUGGCCCUUACGCCUGGGGCUGCACACGUGCUACAAUGGCCGGUACAGAAGGAUGCAACACCGCGAGGUUGAGCAAAUCCCCAAAGCCGGCCCCAGUUCGGAUUGAAGUCUGCAACUCGACUUCAUGAAGUUGGAUUCGCUAGUAACGGCGUAUCAGCUACGACGCCGUGAUACGUUCCCGGGCNUUGACACACCGCCCGUCACAUCAUGAAAGCCGUCUGCACCCGAAGUCGUUGACCCAACCCGCAAGGGAGGGAGGCGCCGAAGGUGUG
RNAcentral lists this ribosomal RNA (1143 nucleotides) under uncultured organism. RNAcentral's name for it is "bacterial SSU rRNA". It matches the Rfam family "Bacterial small subunit ribosomal RNA", at positions 331 to 1466 of the family's 1533-position model. The record is from RNAcentral.